This is a long non-coding RNA of Antechinus flavipes (yellow-footed antechinus), 1034 nucleotides long. RefSeq lists it as uncharacterized. NCBI's taxonomy places the organism in Eukaryota, Metazoa, Chordata, Mammalia, Dasyuromorphia, Dasyuridae. The record is from RefSeq and is a predicted model, not a curated record. The transcript has 4 exons.
UCUUUCAGCUAAGAAGGAGGAGGGGGCGAGGGUGGGAGGGGAGGAAGUAACUGAGGCCGCGGGGAGGAGGAGCUCUCAGGGAGGAGCAGCCUGGAGGCGGGUGUUGCCCAGGUGCGAUUUGGGCACUGAGGAGGACUUGGGAGUCUGGGAGGAGUUUAGGGCCGAAAAUCUUUGCCUGUUGGGGGCAGGACUAAGGUAGGAGAGGCACUGGGAGGCCUAAAGGGCAGAGCCUCCGUGUGAUUGGAGGAAAGGGCUCAACCGUCCUGGGGGCGGGGUUCUUGGGACCGGGAAGAUCCUCCCAGACUGGACUGAGAGGGAACGCGAAGUGUACCUUGACAUUCCCCUCCAUUCCCUGCUGCAGAAACUGCUCAGCUUUCCUUGGGAAUUCCGGUGUCUCCCCGUUUCCCCCGGGAGCUCGGAUCUCUCCCCGAUUUCCCCGGGAGCUCAGAUCUUUCCCUUUCCCCCGGGAGCUCGGAUCUCUCUUCUUUUUUCCCUGGGAACCAAGAUCACCGACACUCAGGAAACCAGGCCUGUGCUUGCAGCUCCCAGGGAGCCAGAAGCCAGAGGGAAUGGGCCCUGGGAGCCUCGGACCUCCUCCCCAGGAGACGGUGACGUUCAAGGACGUGGCUGUGGACUUCACUAAGGAGGAGUGGGGGCUCUUGGACCCCUCUCAGAAGGAGCUGUACCAGGAGGUCAUGGUGGAGAACGCCCGGAACCUGCUCUCCCUGGGUGAAAGAUUAAAUCAGUGGAAGCCUCUCAAACGUGGAACUAAUCUUAGGGUUAAUGUCUACCUGGACCCAAAGUUUGUCUGCCAGAAUACAUGUGUGUGUGUGUGUCUGCGUGUAUAUAAUAUGCACGUAUCUAUCUAUCUAUAUUUAUUUACAUGUCUAUUAUUUCUGUAUGUAUAAAAGUGUCUAUAUAAUGGCAGCCAUCUCUGGGUUGGGACAGGCAAAGUGAAGCUAAAAUAAUUACUAAAUAAUUUUCUUGUCUGUUUGAAAGUAAUAGAAAGUUGUACAUUGUGGAUUUACAGUUUC